UAAUAUCCAUGGAAUCGCACUUUUAAAUAAACCGAAUUCAUCUAAUAUUGAAAAUGUAUCUACUGCCAUUUCGUAAGCAAAACAACGAUCAUUAUUGAACGAAUAUUAGCGAUUGAAAUAUGGAAGUUUUAAACUAAAUUGGAGUUACUGUUAAAUGGCGUAAUUUUGUGGAGUGCACACGAGUUAGCGUCGGUUCUGUUAUUCUUGAAAUUACAGAAUAACCCUGCAGGAUCUUGUAAAGUUAUUAUAUGCAUUUAAUCGACCUUUGUGUUGUAAGCUACUUAGUAAAAGACAAUUAAAAAGCUAAUCUUAGGGGCUGUCCAUUAAUCACGUGAGGAUUCGCUUGAUGAAACCGACGUUGAUCUUCAACAAAGUAUAGUCCUAACCACAGAACAUAUAAAGGAGGUUAGAAAGGCCUUGUGGGCGGGGCACGCGCGCCGCGGUUAUGAGCAAAUGCUCAACUUCAACCGAAAUUUUCUUUACCGGCCAUCAAUCGCGCUCUUGUUUUGACAGCGUACGUAAGCUCCGCAAAAAAUCAAAUUAUGCCAUCUUGUGCUAUUAUAUCGUGUCGGAAAAGAAGCCAGGUGUGUAGUGUAGUACGAGAAGGGAUUUCUUUCCACCGAUAAGUCCAAAAACAUUAAAAUACUUGUGAUAUUCGUAAUUAUAACAUUAGCAUUAUGAAGUUUGUAGACAAUAACGAUAUAAUCGCAAGCAGACGGAUAGUAAUACAUUGCUUGCAAUAUAUGGGUACCAUUUUGCACUACGUGAGCGAUCGCGCAAUGUAUCACGUUCACUGCGAGAGUCCCGAGUACCAAACCAAAGGUUAAUUUCCACGAAAUCUAGACAUAUCGAUAGUGCUGUGCCAAUUUGUAAGCAAUGUCGAUAAUGACUAAGAUGCAAUUGAUUAUUAUCAAUUGUACAAAGUAUAACUAAAAUAAUUACGACCAAUUAUUAAUAUAGAUUUUAAGUGAGGUUUCCAACAGAUCCAAGUAUAAGAAAACUGUGGAUUGAGACAACUGGUAGAAUUGAUUGGAUCCCUACUAAAUGUAGCACAAUUUGUUCGCAACAUUUCGAUGACUGAAUGAUGACAAUCGGGACUGAUUUAUUUAACAACAUAAGUCAUCAUCAGGUUGGCUUAUAUUCUAGUGCGAGCCAUGUGACAGAUCUAACUAAGGCUAUUAUAGAAAAAUAUAUUAGUGUUAGAUUGCAUUUCAUUUUGAAAAACCGUAAUUUAAAAGAGAGCAAGCGUAUGGUACUUAAUAAAUAAGUAUUAUUUCAGGGACAAUAAUUUUUUUAUUUGUGAACUGGUGAUAAGCACCAAAAAUAUAAGGUUGAGAGGCAACCGACUUUCUCUAAUAAACAUUGUAGAUAUUCCAUGUUAAAUCCUAAUGUUAAUAAUAAAAUUGGUUUUAAAAUUCA
Pieris rapae (cabbage white) is the source of this 1419-nucleotide long non-coding RNA. RefSeq lists it as uncharacterized. The record is from RefSeq and is a predicted model, not a curated record. NCBI's taxonomy places the organism in Eukaryota, Metazoa, Arthropoda, Insecta, Lepidoptera, Pieridae. The transcript is spliced from 2 exons.